Molecule: long non-coding RNA, 1935 nt
Organism: Strigops habroptila (Kakapo)
Lineage: Eukaryota; Metazoa; Chordata; Aves; Psittaciformes; Psittacidae
Source: Ensembl
UAUUAACAUAGUUUUAAUAAAGAAAAAAAAAAAAACAGUCUUUCCAAUACCAAAGUUUUACAAAAUUAACACUUCUUACAGCUACUUGACUAUAUUAAACACCCAUCAAAAUAUCUGUUACACUUCCAGAUGCAGCGUAUGAACAGCGGUUAGAGAACAGUGGUUACGAAUGUGCUGUGUAUAACCGCAUUAAAGUGUUUUGAAUAAAACAACUGCACUCUUUAAGCCAAGUCUUCUUACACUACUAAGAAAAGCCCAGGGAGAGAAAUGAAAAAAUGUUUUAUUUUGAUAUUUAACUUCUAAAUUAAAGUAUCAUAAAACAUUUAUUUCUGCAAAUGUCAACUGCAUUCUGUUUUCAACAGCUGAUGUGUUCAUGUAGAGGUACAGAUUAUGGCAACAAGUUUACUUAACAUUCAUGAUGCUGAACACACUGCUGUAUCCUGAACCUUCAGCUUUCCCAUUUUUUUCCGCUCUCCCAGAAAACACGUUUUAAAACAUCCAAACAAUGUCCACACACUUAAGUCUAGUAGAGAUUAAAGGGAUCCUCUGACUAUUGAUGUUUUUUAGAGUUUACUAAUGCUUGAAAAUAGUAGCAAGCUACCCUCUAAUAUGUCUGUUAACAUAUUUGGUUUAAAAUUAACUUUUAACAAAGAUUUUUGUUGUUAUUCUCAUUGAAGGGAAAAUACAGAAUUCUUGCAAAUUCAGUAUCAGUCCUUCCAGCACCAAAAUAUACACAGUAUUUUUCUAGGUUUUAAAGCCCUGUGGCUUUGUAAAAAAACUACACUAAAUCAGAUUAUUUACUCAAUUUUGUAUAUUUUCUGUGGGCUGUCCUACCCUAAAUUUUCAACUAAUUAUAUUGUCUUUCUUCUGAAGACAUAUAAUAUGCUGUUUCCACCUUACGCUAAGAAGGAAUAAAGGAAUUAUUCUUCUUCCUUCUCCCCCUUCUCUCCCCCCAAUGGAUUUUACUGGCAUCUGCAUAGACCUUUCAUAAUAAAAAAACCAACAUUUGCAGGAUUGUACAGCGUAUUUUGAAGAAAUAAAAAUAAAAAUAUUUAUGACAAGUGACUCUUUGCGCAACUGCCUUUGUUUUGGAAACGGAGCUUUCUUACAGCUCAAAAUGAAAACUUAAUUCCAUUAAGUAAUACCAGUUCCGCCACUGAAUUUAAUGGAAACAGAAAAUCUUCCCAAUCUUCAGUCUAGCAUAAAGUAACAGUGUGUGAGCUAUGACUUGCCACAGAGGAAAAUGCUUUGCAUUUCUCUGCGUAGCAGCUCUUCAGCACACAAAUUUUGUAGCCCUUCUGCCUGUGCCUUAUCACUCCAAGCUCCUUCUCUAGUAAAUCAGCAAGAAGUGCACUGAAUCAAGAUCCUUCAUAGCUGCAUUUAGUAGAGAAUCAUUUACUCAGGUAUUGUGAGUUAGAGCUUUUCCAGUUAGUGUUCUUUCAAAUUCAAGAAACAGGAAAAGUAAGGAACAUCGCAUUAACGUACAAGGCUCUCCAAAUCUGACACAUACAUCCAGUUGACCACAGAAUUCCAUAGUACAAUUGCAAAGCAUGCCACAGUUCUGCCAUCGAUGGCUGUGUUCAAAUAAUUGUUACAGAACUUUCUUACUCCAUCUGUGACAAUUUCGAGAGUCUUUUGUUUGGAAAUUCAAAUGAUGAAAUAUAAACUGGCACAAACCCCCCCAAAAACCCAGAAGCAUUAAAGCUACUCAGCCAAAACCAUCCCUGGUUUAAUAGUUCUAUCUCACACUAUUAAAAUGGAUAAUACAGUGUAACAGUUAGCAAUGUCUAAUUCUCAUCUAUCAAAAUUGAGAGAAUAUUUCAGGUGUUUGAGUUCUCCCCUGAUGUAUUCCUAAAGUAACUUCCUGCUAGUGGAAUGUGAAGAAAGGUUAAACGAGACAGAAUCUGCCCCCAUAAGCAAAAUUAGCAAAGGCAC